CUGAGCAGUUUGCCCUGUACAUCCCACUGGAAAGCAGAAUGGAAGCCCGAUUCCCAAAGUGCUUCCAGCUCAGCGAUGCCCAACCCUUGAAAGAACCACGGCUCUUCAAAGCAACGCGAAAUCAUCCUGCUGUGGGUGGUGCUGCCUGUUUCCACGAAAUGCAAGUUUCUUUCAUCUAGAAAGACGUUUGCACAGGCUCUUUGCCUGCCAUUGCUGGGCAUCCCUGCACCCUGCGAAGCAAAGCUACGUUCAGACACCGGAGCGGGCUGCAGGUGAGCUGUCGCAUCCCCGCUGUCGCUGCAGCAUCCCCACUGCCACUGCAGCAUCCCCGCUGUCGUUGCAGCAUCCCUGCUGUCGCUGCAGCACAGAGCCGUGCAGUACCACGCAGCUACGCGUGCCCAGCACCAGCUUGGAGAUCUCCGCGCAGCCCGUGACUGCACACACUGAUAAGUCUGCGCAUCUUCCAAACCUCCCCGCCCGUUCCCCCUCAUUGUCCCUUGUUUCUCCACUGUUAAAAAGUAAAUAUAAUUUUCCGCUGGGAGGACAGCGGUGAGAACAGUGUGUACGAUGUUCCAAGACGGUGCCCUGACGAGAGCUCCGUAAGCAGCCAGGCAGCCAGGUCAUAGACAUAAAGCGGUUAUUUAAUUACCGAUAGUAUGUGAUGCUGUUCGUACAUGAGAUAGAUGAAAAUACUCAAUAUUCUUGUUUGGCUGGAACUAUUCAUCCUGAUUCAUCCUCUCUGAUCCAGAAGAACUGAGGCUUGAAAUGUGUGUCCGUCUGUCUGUGUGCUGUUGACGCUUGCUGAAAAG
Molecule: long non-coding RNA, 809 nt
Filed under: Falco tinnunculus (common kestrel)
Lineage: Eukaryota; Metazoa; Chordata; Aves; Falconiformes; Falconidae
Description: lncRNA (ENSFTIG00000008824.1)
Source: RNAcentral